This 119-nucleotide ribosomal RNA is filed under the name Pteropus alecto (black flying fox). The record is from RNAcentral. Lineage: Eukaryota; Metazoa; Chordata; Mammalia; Chiroptera; Pteropodidae.
AUCUAUGGCCACGCCACCCUGAACAAGCCCGAUUCCGUCUGACCUCGGAAGCUAAGCAGGGUCGGGCCUGGUUAGUACUUGGAAGGGAGACCACCUAGGAAGACCAGGUUUCGUAAGCG